RNAcentral lists this ribosomal RNA (896 nucleotides) under uncultured bacterium. RNAcentral's name for it is "bacterial SSU rRNA". It matches the Rfam family "Bacterial small subunit ribosomal RNA", at positions 8 to 916 of the family's 1533-position model. The record is from RNAcentral.
AGAGUUUGACCUGGCUCAGGAUGAACGCUGGCGGCGUGCUUAACGCAUGCAAGUCGAACGAUGAUCCCAGCUUGCUGGGGGAUUAGUGGCGAACGGGUGAGUAACACGUGAGUAACCUGCCCUUAACUCUGGGAUAAGCCUGGGAAGCUGGGUCUAAUACCGGAUAUGACUCCUCAUCGCAUGGUGGGGGGUGGAAAGCUUUAUUGUGGUUUUGGAUGGACUCGCGGCCUAUCAGCUUGUUGGUGAGGUAAUGGCUCACCAAGGCGAGGACGGGUAGCCGGCCUGAGAGGGUGACCGGCCACACUGGGACUGAGACGCGGCCCAGACUCCUACGGGAGGCAGCAGUGGGGAAUAUUGCACAAUGGGCGAAAGCCUGAUGCAGCGACGCCGCGUGAGGGAUGACGGCCUUCGGGUUGUAAACCUCUUUCAGUAGGGAAGAAGCGAAAGUGACGGUACCUGCAGAAGAAGCGCCGGCUAACUACGUGCCAGCAGCCGCGGUAAUACGUAGGGCGCAAGCGUUAUCCGGAAUUAUUGGGCGUAAAGAGCUCGUAGGCGGUUUGUCGCGUCUGCCGUGAAAGUCCGGGGCUCAACUCCGGAUCUGCGGUGGGUACGGGCAGACUAGAGUGAUGUAGGGGAGACUGGAAUUCCUGGUGUAGCGGUGAAAUGCGCAGAUAUCAGGAGGAACACCGAUGGCGAAGGCAGGUCUCUGGGCAUUAACUGACGCUGAGGAGCGAAAGCAUGGGGAGCGAACAGGAUUAGAUACCCUGGUAGUCCAUGCCGUAAACGUUGGGCACUAGGUGUGGGGGACAUUCCACGUUUUCCGCGCCGUAGCUAACGCAUUAAGUGCCCCGCCUGGGGAGUACGGCCGCAAGGCUAAAACUCAAAGGAAUUGACGG